GCGUAAAGCGCACGCAGGCGGUUUGUUAAGUCAGAUGUGAAAUCCCCGGGCUCAACCUGGGAACUGCAUCUGAUACUGGCAAGCUUGAGUCUCGUAGAGGGGGGUAGAAUUCCAGGUGUAGCGGUGAAAUGCGUAGAGAUCUGGAGGAAUACCGGUGGCGAAGGCGGCCCCCUGGACGAAGACUGACGCUCAGGUGCGAAAGCGUGGGGAGCAAACAGGAUUAGAUACCCUGGUAGUCCACGCCGUAAACGAUGUCGACUUGGAGGUUGUGCCCUUGAGGCGUGGCUUCCGGAGCUAACGCGUUAAGUCGACCGCCUGGGGAGUACGGCCGCAAGGUUAAAACUCAAAUGAAUUGACGGGGGCCCGCACAAGCGGUGGAGCAUGUGGUUUAAUUCGAUGCAACGCGAAGAACCUUACCUGGUCUUGACAUCCACGGAAGUUUUCAGAGAUGAGAAUGUGCCUUCGGGAACCGUGAGACAGGUGCUGCAUGGCUGUCGUCAGCUCGUGUUGUGAAAUGUUGGGUUAAGUCCCGCAACGAGCGCAACCCUUAUCCUUUGUUGCCAGCGGUCCGGCCGGGAACUCAAAGGAGACUGCCAGUGAUAAACUGGAGGAAGGUGGGGAUGACGUCAAGUCAUCAUGGCCCUUACGACCAGGGCUACACACGUGCUACAAUGGCGCAUACAAAGAGAAGCGACCUCGCGAGAGCAAGCGGACCUCAUAAAGUGCGUCGUAGUCCGGAUUGGAGUCUGCAACUCGACUCCAUGAAGUCGGAAUCGCUAGUAAUCGUGGAUCAGAAUGCCACGGUGAAUACGUUCCCGGGCCUUGUACACACCGCCCGUCACACCAUGGGAGUGGGUUGCAAAAGAAGUAGGUAGCUUAACCUUCGGGAGGGCGCUUACCACUUUGUGAUUCAUGACUGGGGUGAAGUCGUAACAAGGUAACCGUAGGGGAACCUGCGGUUGGAUCACCUCCUUACCUUAAAGAAGC
Molecule: ribosomal RNA, 987 nt
Filed under: Escherichia coli
Lineage: Bacteria; Pseudomonadati; Pseudomonadota; Gammaproteobacteria; Enterobacterales; Enterobacteriaceae
Description: bacterial SSU rRNA
Rfam family: Bacterial small subunit ribosomal RNA
Source: RNAcentral